UGUGAGCUCGAUGAGUAGGGCGGGACACGUGGUAUCCUGUCUGAAUAUGGGGGGACCAUCCUCCAAGGCUAAAUACUCCUGACUGACCGAUAGUGAACCAGUACCGUGAGGGAAAGGCGAAAAGAACCCCGGCGAGGGGAGUGAAAAAGAACCUGAAACCGUGUACGUACAAGCAGUGGGAGCACGCUUAGGCGUGUGACUGCGUACCUUUUGUAUAAUGGGUCAGCGACUUAUAUUCUGUAGCAAGGUUAACCGAAUAGGGGAGCCGAAGGGAAACCGAGUCUUAACUGGGCGUUAAGUUGCAGGGUAUAGACCCGAAACCCGGUGAUCUAGCCAUGGGCAGGUUGAAGGUUGGGUAACACUAACUGGAGGACCGAACCGACUAAUGUUGAAAAAUUAGCGGAUGACUUGUGGCUGGGGGUGAAAGGCCAAUCAAACCGGGAGAUAGCUGGUUCUCCCCGAAAGCUAUUUAGGUAGCGCCUCGUGAAUUCAUCUCCGGGGGUAGAGCACUGUUUCGGCAAGGGGGUCAUCCCGACUUACCAACCCGAUGCAAACUGCGAAUACCGGAGAAUGUUAUCACGGGAGACACACGGCGGGUGCUAACGUCCGUCGUGAAGAGGGAAACAACCCAGACCGCCAGCUAAGGUCCCAAAGUCAUGGUUAAGUGGGAAACGAUGUGGGAAGGCCCAGACAGCCAGGAUGUUGGCUUAGAAGCAGCCAUCAUUUAAAGAAAGCGUAAUAGCUCACUGGUCGAGUCGGCCUGCGCGGAAGAUGUAACGGGGCUAAACCAUGCACCGAAGCUGCGGCAGCGACACUAUGUGUUGUUGGGUAGGGGAGCGUUCUGUAAGCCUGUGAAGGUGUGCUGUGAGGCAUGCUGGAGGUAUCAGAAGUGCGAAUGCUGACAUAAGUAACGAUAAAGCGGGUGAAAAGCCCGCUCGCCGGAAGACCAAGGGUUCCUGUCCAACGUUAAUCGGGGCAGGGUGAGUCGACCCCUAAGGCGAGGCCGAAAGGCGUAGUCGAUGGGAAACAGGUUAAUAUUCCUGUACUUGGUGUUACUGCGAAGGGGGGACGGAGAAGGCUAUGUUGGCCGGGCGACGGUUGUCCCGGUUUAAGCGUGUAGGCUGGUUUUCCAGGCAAAUCCGGAAAAUCAAGGCUGAGGCGUGAUGACGAGGCACUACGGUGCUGAAGCAACAAAUGCCCUGCUUCCAGGAAAAGCCUCUAAGCAUCAGGUAACAUCAAAUCGUACCCCAAACCGACACAGGUGGUCAGGUAGAGAAUACCAAGGCGCUUGAGAGAACUCGGGUGAAGGAACUAGGCAAAAUGGUGCCGUAACUUCGGGAGAAGGCACGCUGAUAUGUAGGUGAAGUCCCUCGCGGAUGGAGCUGAAAUCAGUCGAAGAUACCAGCUGGCUGCAACUGUUUAUUAAAAACACAGCACUGUGCAAACACGAAAGUGGACGUAUACGGUGUGACGCCUGCCCGGUGCCGGAAGGUUAAUUGAUGGGGUUAGCCGCAAGGCGAAGCUCUUGAUCGAAGCCCCGGUAAACGGCGGCCGUAACUAUAACGGUCCUAAGGUAGCGAAAUUCCUUGUCGGGUAAGUUCCGACCUGCACGAAUGGCGUAAUGAUGGCCAGGCUGUCUCCACCCGAGACUCAGUGAAAUUGAACUCGCUGUGAAGAUGCAGUGUACCCGCGGCAAGACGGAAAGACCCCGUGAACCUUUACUAUAGCUUGACACUGAACAUUGAGCCUUGAUGUGUAGGAUAGGUGGGAGGCUUUGAAGUGUGGACGCCAGUCUGCAUGGAGCCGACCUUGAAAUACCACCCUUUAAUGUUUGAUGUUCUAACGUUGACCCGUAAUCCGGGUUGCGGACAGUGUCUGGUGGGUAGUUUGACUGGGGCGGUCUCCUCCUAAAGAGUAACGGAGGAGCACGAAGGUUGGCUAAUCCUGGUCGGACAUCAGGAGGUUAGUGCAAUGGCAUAAGCCAGCUUGACUGCGAGCGUGACGGCGCGAGCAGGUGCGAAAGCAGGUCAUAGUGAUCCGGUGGUUCUGAAUGGAAGGGCCAUCGCUCAACGGAUAAAAGGUACUCCGGGGAUAACAGGCUGAUACCGCCCAAGAGUUCAUAUCGACGGCGGUGUUUGGCACCUCGAUGUCGGCUCAUCACAUCCUGGGGCUGAAGUAGGUCCCAAGGGUAUGGCUGUUCGCCAUUUAAAGUGGUACGCGAGCUGGGUUUAGAACGUCGUGAGACAGUUCGGUCCCUAUCUGCCGUGGGCGCUGGAGAACUGAGGGGGGCUGCUCCUAGUACGAGAGGACCGGAGUGGACGCAUCACUGGUGUUCGGGUUGUCAUGCCAAUGGCACUGCCCGGUAGCUAAAUGCGGAAGAGAUAAGUGCUGAAAGCAUCUAAGCACGAAACUUGCCCCGAGAUGAGUUCUCCCUGACUCCUUGAGAGUCCUGAAGGAACGUUGAAGACGACGACGUUGAUAGGCCGGGUGUGUAAGCGCAGCGAUGCGUUGAGCUAACCGGUACUAAUGAACCGUGAGGCUUAACCUU
This 2548-nucleotide ribosomal RNA is filed under the name Escherichia coli. Its description in RNAcentral is "bacterial LSU rRNA". It matches the Rfam family "Bacterial large subunit ribosomal RNA", at positions 398 to 2925 of the family's 2925-position model. Lineage: Bacteria; Pseudomonadati; Pseudomonadota; Gammaproteobacteria; Enterobacterales; Enterobacteriaceae. The record is from RNAcentral.